CGUGAAGGAGUGUGAACAUUUUCUCUGGUGAAGCAACUGCAGAAUUUCCUUCUGCAUUGGAAACAGCAAGAGGGGGAAUCUUAGAAGAUGCUAUGGGCCUGGGGUAAACUGUAAUGACAAUUGCUCUAAUACUUGCUAGGCCGGGCAAGGGUAUCCCUGAUAAUCAAGAACUUGCUGAGGACAUGCCUAUUACUUAGCAUUCUAGGAACAGAAGGAUUAAAGGUGGCACUUUCAUUGUUUGUCCUAUGGCAUUACUUGGUCAAUGGAAGGAUGAACUUGAAGCCCAUUCAAAGCCAGAUAGCAUUUCUGUUUUUGUUCAUUAUGGUGGGGAAAGAAGUAAUGACCCUAGAGUGAUAGUAGAAACAGAUGUGGUCUUGACAACCUAUGGUAAGUAAUCCAG
Molecule: long non-coding RNA, 400 nt
Organism: Ipomoea nil (Japanese morning glory)
Lineage: Eukaryota; Viridiplantae; Streptophyta; Magnoliopsida; Solanales; Convolvulaceae
Exons: 3
Source: RefSeq, a predicted model, not a curated record